UACUUCAUGGAGGUUUCCUUGUGCUUCUGGCUAUAAGGACCCUUCUUGAUAAGC
Molecule: microRNA precursor, 54 nt
Filed under: Heligmosomoides polygyrus
Lineage: Eukaryota; Metazoa; Nematoda; Chromadorea; Rhabditida; Heligmosomidae
Description: microRNA hpo-mir-10043c precursor
Source: miRBase by way of RNAcentral